UCAGUAGCUCCGCCUUUCACACACACGCGCACACUCGAACCUCUCUACAUAGGCUCACUCAUGGCUAGUUCUGGGAAGGGCAUUUGGCAGGGAGAGAUGUUGGGUCUAGAUUUGCUUCCAGUGAAAGUGACCAGAACCAGUCUUCCUCCCAUAGAUUAAUGGAGAAGUAGACUACUACAAAAGACUUCAGAACUACAACUUCCUCCUUAAGUGUUAUGGAGAAGCAUAAUGAUCCCAAUAUAAGGUUCAAUAAGAUGGCCCACCAGGAGAUGGGUCUGGUCCAGCCUGUCCCUGUGGCCAACACCCAGACCAGGGGACAGUGGUCCAGCAAGCUGGAGUACCUCCUGGCUGUGGCCGGACAGAUCAUCGGCCUGGGGAAUGUAUGGAGGUUCCCAUACCUGUGCUACAAAAAUGGGGGAGGGGUGUUCUUCAUCCCUUAUGUGCUUUUCCUGUUCACCUGUGGCAUUCCCCUCUUUCUUCUGGAGACCUCCCUGGGCCAGUACACCACGCAGGGCAGCAUCACCUGCUGGAGGAAGAUCUGCCCCCUGUUUGAAGGACUGGGUUAUGGUGGUCAGGUGGUAGUUCUGUAUUCCAGCAUCUAUUACAUCAUCAUCCUGGCCUGGGCCUUCUUCUACCUCUUCUCCUCGUUCAGCUCUGAGCUCCCCUGGGCUAGUUGUAGAAACAGCUGGAACACAGCAACCUGCGUGGAGUUUGACAGAAAAGUAGUAGGAUAUCUAAACUGGACAAUAACAGGAAACGCAACAUCGCCAGUGAGAGAGUUCUGGGAGAGAAGAGUUUUGAAUCUCACAGACAGUGUCUACAAGCUUGGAAAUAUUCGCUGGGACCUAUCUUUGUGUCUUCUAUUGUCCUGGAUUAUCUGUUACUUCUGUGUCUGGAAAGGAGUGAAGUCUACUGGGAAGGUGGUCUAUUUCACUGCCACCUUCCCCUAUGUGAUGCUGUUGGUGUUGCUAGUUCGUGGACUCACACUGCCAGGGGCCAUAGAUGGUAUCAAGUUCUACCUCUACCCGGACCCAGCCCGCCUCGCUGACCCACAGGUGUGGAUGGAUGCUGGAACACAAAUCUUCUACUCCUAUGCGAUCUGCAUCGGCUGCCUGACCGCCCUUGGCAGCUAUAACAAGUAUGACAACAACUGUUACAAGGACUGUGUGUACCUGUGCCUUUUGAACAGCGGAACCAGCUUCGUGGCUGGUUUUUCUAUCUUCUCUGUACUGGGCUUCAUGGCUUAUGAACAGGGGACAGACAUCGCAACUGUGGCCGAAUCAGGUCCUGGCCUGGCGUUCAUCGCCUACCCUCGUGCUGUGGCCAUGAUGCCAGUACCCCAACUCUGGGCCAUUUUUUUCUUCAUCAUGAUCAUCCUACUGGGGUUAGAUAGUCAGUUCGUAGGUCUGGAGGCUCUGAUGACAGCUAUCUCAGACAUGUAUCCCUCCUUCUUCCUGGUUGGUCAUCGGCGUAAAAUUCUCCUCCUCAUCAUCAGUGUGGGUAGCUUUUUCAUCGGCCUGGUCAUGGUCACAGAGGGAGGCCUGUAUAUCUUCCAGCUGUUUGAUUACUAUGCCUGCAGUGGGAUGACUCUUCUUCUCUUCGCUGUACUACAGUCAGUGUGUGUCAGCUGGGUUUAUGGUGCAGAUCGUCUGUACGAUAAUAUAGAGGACAUGAUCGGUUAUCGACCAUUACCCCUCAUUAAGUACUGUUUGAAGUAUAUCACUCCAGUCAUCUGCACUGAAAGUUCUCCUGCAACAGGCUACGUUUGUCUUCUCCUUGAUUAGGUUUACCCCGCUAAAGUUCAACAACACCUUUGAGUAUACUUGGUGGGGUUACGCCAUUGGUUGGUGGUUCACCCUCUCCUCCACACUCAUAGUUCCUCUGUGGAUGGUGUACAUUGUGAGUGUCACUCCUGGUACACUGCGACAGAGACUGUCUAUCCUCACCACGCCCUCAGAGGAUCUCCCUAUUACCAAGGCCCAGAAAAAGGCCCUCCUGGCCAAGCAGUCCGAGCUGGACAGACCUCUGGGGGACAUGAAGAUACCAACCUGGGGCCACAAUCUCAUAGACAGAGAUACUCUCUCGCUCGCCCACCAUCCCUACAGGCCUGGAGACAAGCAGGUCCAGCCAGUCACUCACUCUCCUAAAGGUUGUGACACUGUGACUGUGUGACACUGUGUUUGGUCUGAGUGGGUUAGGAAAGUAUAUAUCAUCCACCACAGGCCUUUUUCUUGGGAGAGCGUUGUGGGCAAGUGCUUUCAAAACACACACUACUUCCUGUGUGUAGCAUUAUUAAGGAGACGUAGCAGCACUGGUUCUGGGAAAGUCUUGGAUGUGGAAAUAGUUUGGGCCAGAACACACUGAAGUGAGAUAGUGAGUAAGGUCCAGCACAAAAGAUGGACCUUUGAAGUUGUGCUUUAAUCAGGACUUGGGUCAUGUAGGACACAGUAUUUCAUCGAAAUUCAUGACUUUCUGUCACCGAACAUAGUGGAAACAAAGGCAUAUGACGAUCAUGCUCUUGGUCACAGUUGGUUAAAUGAUUCUGUAUAUACAUGUGAUCAAACCCUUUUUAAUAAAGAAAGGUAAUAUUU
Oncorhynchus mykiss (rainbow trout) is the source of this 2591-nucleotide RNA transcript. It is a transcript of the gene named sodium- and chloride-dependent GABA transporter 2, with no coding region annotated. NCBI's taxonomy places the organism in Eukaryota, Metazoa, Chordata, Actinopteri, Salmoniformes, Salmonidae. The record is from RefSeq and is a predicted model, not a curated record.